RNAcentral lists this long non-coding RNA (481 nucleotides) under Homo sapiens (human). Its description in RNAcentral is "HSALNT0165976". The record is from RNAcentral. Lineage: Eukaryota; Metazoa; Chordata; Mammalia; Primates; Hominidae.
CCAGGCACCAGGCUCUAUGGGAGGUCCUGAGUGGGUGAGAGGACACAAAUGUGGAUGACAGGUUGGAAAUAUUUUUGCAAUACCACUGAAUCCUCCAGUUUUUACCCCUUACGAUGGGAAGUGAAUACAGUAUGAAAAGGGAGUGGGACAUAUGAGAGGAACGACAGGCUCAAAAUAUGAAGACUUAAUCCAGACACCUCUGUGUCUCUGAACUUGCGUUGUUUCUUCUUUGGAGGUGAAGUACACAUCGUUUUACUCCGGGCAGAGGACUUGUGCUCCUUUUGAGAACUUUCAGCUCUGUAGUGUCGAGUCUUCUGGUUUCCAGAUCCACAUCCUGCCCUGGGGGAAUUGACAUCCAUCAGUGAUGUCAGCCUCUCUCCCUGCACUCAUUCCACCAUUUUGGCCCCAGCAAAGACUCCAGAGCAAACAACACCUCGGAAAGGAGAAGGAGGAAAUGAAGUUGGGGAAAUUGGUGUCCUAC